RNAcentral lists this transfer RNA (76 nucleotides) under Callorhinchus milii (elephant shark). RNAcentral describes it as "tRNA-Ala (CGC) (tRNA-Ala-CGC-8-1)". It matches the Rfam family "tRNA". Rfam says of the family: Transfer RNA (tRNA) molecules are approximately 80 nucleotides in length. Their secondary structure includes four short double-helical elements and three loops (D, anti-codon, and T loops). The record is from RNAcentral. Lineage: Eukaryota; Metazoa; Chordata; Chondrichthyes; Chimaeriformes; Callorhinchidae.
UGCAGUCCUGUAGCUCAGCGGUUAGAGCGCUCGCCUCGCAAGCGAGAGGACCUGGGUUCGAUUCCCAGCAGGGCAA